RNAcentral lists this transfer RNA (72 nucleotides) under Stegodyphus mimosarum. It matches the Rfam family "tRNA". Rfam says of the family: Transfer RNA (tRNA) molecules are approximately 80 nucleotides in length. Their secondary structure includes four short double-helical elements and three loops (D, anti-codon, and T loops). Further hydrogen bonds mediate the characteristic L-shaped molecular structure. tRNAs have two regions of fundamental functional importance: the anti-codon, which is responsible for specific mRNA codon recognition, and the 3' end, to which the tRNAs corresponding amino acid is attached (by aminoacyl-tRNA synthetases). tRNAs cope with the degeneracy of the genetic code in two manners: having more than one tRNA (with a specific anti-codon) for a particular amino acid; and 'wobble' base-pairing, i.e. permitting non-standard base-pairing at the 3rd anti-codon position. Lineage: Eukaryota; Metazoa; Arthropoda; Arachnida; Araneae; Eresidae. The record is from Rfam by way of RNAcentral.
GCCCUCGCGGCGUAACGGUAGCACACUCGGCUCGUAUUCGAGAAGCUUCAGGUUCGAGUCCCAGCGAAGGCA